UACGGGAGGCAGCAGUGAGGCCNUAUUGGUCAAUGGGCGCGAGCCUGAACCAGCCAAGUAGCGUGAGGGAUGACUGCCCUAUGGGUUGUAAACUGCUUUUAUACAGGGAUAAAGUCGGGGACGUGUCCCCGUUUGCAGGUACUGUAUGAAUAAGGACCGGCUAAUUCCGUGCCAGCAGCCGCGGUAAU
RNAcentral lists this ribosomal RNA (188 nucleotides) under uncultured rumen bacterium. RNAcentral's name for it is "partial 16S ribosomal RNA". It matches the Rfam family "Bacterial small subunit ribosomal RNA", at positions 340 to 524 of the family's 1533-position model. The record is from RNAcentral.